RNAcentral lists this ribosomal RNA (460 nucleotides) under uncultured bacterium. RNAcentral's name for it is "partial 16S ribosomal RNA". It matches the Rfam family "Bacterial small subunit ribosomal RNA", at positions 338 to 795 of the family's 1533-position model. The record is from RNAcentral.
CCUACGGGAGGCUGCAGUGAGGAAUAUUGGUCAAUGGACGAGAGUCUGAACCAGCCAAGCCGCGUGAAGGAUGACUGCCUUAUGGGUUGUAAACUUUUUUUAUAUGGGAAUAAAAUGUUCCACGUGUGGGAUUUUGUAUGUACCAUAUGAAUAAGGAUAGGCUAACUCCGUGCCAGCAGCCGCGGUAAUACGGAGGAUCCGAGCGUUAACCGGAUUUAUUGGGUGUAAAGGGAGCGUAGGUGGAUUGUUAAGUCAGUUGUGAAAGUUUGCGGCUCAACCGGAAAAUUGCAGUUGAAACUGGCAGUCUUGAGUGCAGGAGAGGUGGGCGGAAUUCGUGGUGUAGCGGUGAAAUGCGUAGAUAUCAGGAAGAACACCGGUGGCGAAGGCAGCUCACUGGACUGCAACUGACGCUGAGGCUCGAAAGUGUGGGUAUCAAACAGGAUUAGAUACCCCUGUAGUC